UGGGGAAUUUUCCGCAAUGGGCGAAAGCCUGACGGAGCGAUACCGCGUGUCGGAUGAAGGCCUUAGGGUUGUAAACGACUGUCGGAGGGGAAGAAAAAAAUGACGGUACCCUCAAAGGAAGCACCGGCUAACUCUGUGCCAGCAGCCGCGGUAAGACAGAGGGUGCAAGCGUUGUCCGGAAUUAUUGGGCGUAAAACGUCUGUAGGCGGUUCAUUAAGUCUAAAGUUAAAUUGUCGAGCUCAACUUGGCUUCGCUUUGGAUACUGAUGAACUAGAGUGCGUUAGGGGUUAUUGGAAUUCCCGGUGUAGUGGUGAAAUACGUAGAUAUCGGGAGGAACUCCAGUGGCGAAAGCGAAUAACUGGGGCGUAACUGACGCUGAGAGACGAAAGCGUGGGGAGCA
This 400-nucleotide ribosomal RNA is filed under the name uncultured bacterium. RNAcentral's name for it is "bacterial SSU rRNA". It matches the Rfam family "Bacterial small subunit ribosomal RNA", at positions 355 to 770 of the family's 1533-position model. The record is from RNAcentral.